AUUGAACGCUGGCGGCGUGCUUAACACGUGCAAGUCGAACGGUAAGGCCCUUCGGGGUACACGAGUGGCGAACGGGUGAGUAACACGUGGGUGAUCUGCCCUGCACUUCGGGAUAAGCCUGGGAAACUGGGUCUAAUACCGGAUAGGACCACUGCCUGCAUGGGUGGUGGUGGAAAGCUUUUGCGGUGUGGGAUGGGCCCGCGGCCUAUCAGCUUGUUGGUGGGGUGAUGGCCUACCAAGGCGACGACGGGUAGCCGGCCUGAGAGGGUGACCGGCCACACUGGGACUGAGAUACGGCCCAGACUCCUACGGGAGGCAGCAGUGGGGAAUAUUGCACAAUGGGCGCAAGCCUGAUGCAGCGACGCCGCGUGAGGGAUGACGGCCUUCGGGUUGUAAACCUCUUUCAGCACCGACGAAGCGCAAGUGACGGUAGGUGCAGAAGAAGGACCGGCCAACUACGUGCCAGCCGCCGCCGUAA
RNAcentral lists this ribosomal RNA (478 nucleotides) under uncultured bacterium. RNAcentral describes it as "partial 16S ribosomal RNA". It matches the Rfam family "Bacterial small subunit ribosomal RNA", at positions 28 to 523 of the family's 1533-position model. The record is from RNAcentral.